RNAcentral lists this long non-coding RNA (857 nucleotides) under Lepisosteus oculatus (spotted gar). RNAcentral's name for it is "lncRNA (ENSLOCG00000022189.1)". Lineage: Eukaryota; Metazoa; Chordata; Actinopteri; Semionotiformes; Lepisosteidae. The record is from RNAcentral.
CAGCCUGUCUUAACCUGCCAGAUGAAUUACUGCUUCUUGAGUCAAAGCAAACAAUCUUGUUCCAGCAGGUCUGAGGAGGAGGAGGAACAAGGAACCUGCUGUAGAAGAGGCCGCAGAAACGCCCAGAGACGGCGAGGAGGAGGAGUUGCAGUACGCCACUGUGAAGGCGUCCAGGAAGUCCAACGUCAGCAGACAGGACAAAUUCAAUGUGAUCUACGCGCAGGUAGCAAAUGGAAACGGAAGGCGAAAUGGGGGAUUGGUCCAGGCGGAAGGCUAAAACAACAGCAGCUGACCUCACUUCCUCUUCCUGUACGGCUAGGAUUCGCUCACCUUCCCAGCAUGCCUUGCUUCGCCCCCCCCGUGACUGCAGCGUGAUCUGUCCCUACAGACACACACGGGACCCAGUCGCAGUCCCCAACCGGCCCAGAGUGGACAGCGGCGAGCUCUGCUGCACCACAAGACCCGACAGAAGAUUCCGCGCUCCCGAAAAAACGCUUGAUCCCUGACAGUUGUCCAGGAGGAGCAAAAAUAAGGAGGCACAGUGAAACAGAGGCAGAGCUGGGCUUUAAAACUAGGAACUUCCUAAUAAGAGAACCGGACCUGAGCCACCGGACCGGCUGUCCUCCUGGUGUAACAGGACCGGACCUGACCCAGCUGUCCUCCUGGUGUAACAGGACCGGAUCAGAACCACCAGACCGGCUGUCCUCCUGGUGUAACAAUCAUCCCUGGAUAAUAACUUUUUUCUUCUUAAACAAAAGAUCAGUUAAUAUAUGUUCAUUUUGCCUUUUGAUUGGGACUGAUGUAAAUUGAAUCAGCACAGGACAAAAAAAUAAAAAAUGAAAAAAACGGACAGAGAG